AGAGUUUGAUCCUGGCUUAGGACGAACGCUGGCGGCGUGCCUAACACAUGCAAGUCGAGCGGGGACAUUGCGACGGAGACGAAGUACUCGUACGGAGUCAAAGAUGUAAUGUCUAGCGGCGGACGGGUGAGUAACGCGUGAGCAACCUGUCCCUUACAGGGGGAUAACACAGCGAAAGUUGUACUAAUACCGCAUAAGACCACAGGAUGACAUCGUCCAGGGGUCAAAGGAGCAAUCCGGUAAGGGGUGGGCUCGCGUCCGAUUAGAUAGUUGGUGAGGUAACGGCCCACCAAGUCGACGAUCGGUAGCCGACCUGAGAGGGUGAUCGGCCACAUUGGGACUGAGACACGGCCCAAACUCCUACGGGAGGCAGCAGUGGGGAAUAUUGGGCAAUGGGGGGAAACCCUGACCCAGCAACGCCGCGUGAGGGAAGAAGGUUUUCGGAUCGUAAACCUCUGUCCCAGGUGAAGAGGAAGAGACGGUAGCCUGGGAGGAAGCCCCGGCUAACUACGUGCCAGCCGCCGC
This 525-nucleotide ribosomal RNA is filed under the name uncultured bacterium. RNAcentral describes it as "bacterial SSU rRNA". It matches the Rfam family "Bacterial small subunit ribosomal RNA", at positions 8 to 518 of the family's 1533-position model. The record is from RNAcentral.